CCCUACGGGGGGCAGCAGUGAGGAAUAUUGGUCAAUGGUCGGGAGACUGAACCAGCCAAGCCGCGUGAGGGAGGAAGGUACAGAGUAUCGUAAACCUCUUUUGUCAGGGAACAAAGACUGGGACGCGUCCCCGGAUGAGUGUACCUGAAGAAAAAGCAUCGGCUAACUGCGUGCCAGCAGCCGCGGUAAUACGGAGGAUGCGAGCGUUAUCCGGAUUUAUUGGGUUUAAAGGGUGCGCAGGCGGGCUGUUAAGUCGGCGGUCAAAGCCUGGGGCUCAACCCCGGCCCGCCGGUGAAACUGGCAGG
RNAcentral lists this ribosomal RNA (305 nucleotides) under uncultured bacterium. RNAcentral's name for it is "bacterial SSU rRNA". It matches the Rfam family "Bacterial small subunit ribosomal RNA", at positions 337 to 640 of the family's 1533-position model. The record is from RNAcentral.